GAAGUGGUAGUUCAGUGGCAGAAUUCUUGCCUUCUACGUGGGAAACUCAGGUUCGAUUCCCAGCCAAUCCA
Molecule: transfer RNA, 71 nt
Filed under: Loxodonta africana (African savanna elephant)
Lineage: Eukaryota; Metazoa; Chordata; Mammalia; Proboscidea; Elephantidae
Rfam family: tRNA
About the family: Transfer RNA (tRNA) molecules are approximately 80 nucleotides in length. Their secondary structure includes four short double-helical elements and three loops (D, anti-codon, and T loops). Further hydrogen bonds mediate the characteristic L-shaped molecular structure. tRNAs have two regions of fundamental functional importance: the anti-codon, which is responsible for specific mRNA codon recognition, and the 3' end, to which the tRNAs corresponding amino acid is attached (by aminoacyl-tRNA synthetases). tRNAs cope with the degeneracy of the genetic code in two manners: having more than one tRNA (with a specific anti-codon) for a particular amino acid; and 'wobble' base-pairing, i.e. permitting non-standard base-pairing at the 3rd anti-codon position.
Source: Rfam by way of RNAcentral